GUGCUUUGCGUUACUUGGCAGCGACGGCUUUUUUGGCCGAUGCGGCUGGAGCCUUAGCAGUCUUGGCUGCGUUCAACUCGCCCAAGGCACGC
RNAcentral lists this transfer RNA (92 nucleotides) under Limnohabitans sp. TEGF004. RNAcentral describes it as "tRNA-Lys". The record is from RNAcentral. Lineage: Bacteria; Pseudomonadati; Pseudomonadota; Betaproteobacteria; Burkholderiales; Comamonadaceae.